UUUAUGGAGAGUUUGAUCCUGGCUCAGGAUGAACGCUGGCGGCGUGCCUAAUACAUGCAAGUCGAGCGAACGGACGAGAAGCUUGCUUCUCUGAUGUUAGCGGCGGACGGGUGAGUAACACGUGGAUAACCUACCUAUAAGACUGGGAUAACUUCGGGAAACCGGAGCUAAUACCGGAUGAUAUUUUGAACCGCAUGGUUCAAAAGUGAAAGACGGUCUUGCUGUCACUUAUAGAUGGAUCCGCGCUGCAUUAGCUAGUUGGUAAGGUAACGGCUUACCAAGGCAACGAUGCAUAGCCGACCUGAGAGGGUGAUCGGCCACACUGGAACUGAGACACGGUCCAGACUCCUACGGGAGGCAGCAGUAGGGAAUCUUCCGCAAUGGG
RNAcentral lists this ribosomal RNA (385 nucleotides) under Staphylococcus aureus. RNAcentral's name for it is "bacterial SSU rRNA". It matches the Rfam family "Bacterial small subunit ribosomal RNA", at positions 1 to 375 of the family's 1533-position model. Lineage: Bacteria; Bacillati; Bacillota; Bacilli; Caryophanales; Staphylococcaceae. The record is from RNAcentral.